UGGGGAAUUUUGGACAAUGGGCGAAAGCCUGAUCCAGCAAUGCCGCGUGUGUGAAGAAGGCCUUCGGGUUGUAAAGCACUUUUGUCCGGAAAGAAAUCCUUGGCUCUAAUACAGUCGGGGGAUGACGGUACCGGAAGAAUAAGCACCGGCUAACUACGUGCCAGCAGCCGCGGUAAUACGUAGGGUGCAAGCGUUAAUCGGAAUUACUGGGCGUAAAGCGUGCGCAGGCGGUUUGCUAAGACCGAUGUGAAAUCCCCGGGCUCAACCUGGGAACUGCAUUGGUGACUGGCAGGCUAGAGUAUGGCAGAGGGGGGUAGAAUUCCACGUGUAGCAGUGAAAUGCGUAGAGAUGUGGAGGAAUACCGAUGGCGAAGGCAGCCCCCUGGGCCAAAUACUGACGCUCGUGCACGAAAAGCGUGGGGAGCAAAACAGGAUUAGAUACCCUGGUAGUCCACGCCCUAAAACGAUGUCAACUAGUUGUUGGGGAUUCAUUUCCUUAGUAACGUAGCUAACGCGUGAAGUUGACCGCCUGGGGAGUACGGUCGCAAAGAUUAAAAACUCAAAUGAAUUGACGGGGUCAUAGCUGUUUCCU
Molecule: ribosomal RNA, 591 nt
Filed under: uncultured bacterium
Lineage: Bacteria
Description: partial 16S ribosomal RNA
Rfam family: Bacterial small subunit ribosomal RNA
Source: RNAcentral